Molecule: long non-coding RNA, 1984 nt
Organism: Dendrobium catenatum
Lineage: Eukaryota; Viridiplantae; Streptophyta; Magnoliopsida; Asparagales; Orchidaceae
Exons: 2
Source: RefSeq, a predicted model, not a curated record
UGAGUUGGGGUUCGGCUAGAUUAAGAGAAGUGAAGGUGUCGGGUCUGUGAUAUGGCUAAGUGGAUCGGGAUCAAGGAGAGGUGGGUAUGAGUUCAGCCUCAUAGACGUGGGGUUGGGUCUUGAUUGCGGUAGAGAGGAGAGCAGCAGAUAAGGAGGUCGGCCGGUCUUGUGAAGAGCUUGGCUGAAGAGGAAUCGAGAGGGGUUUCAGUUGUAAUCGGAUGGGGGCUUCGGUCGGUUGAAGUCGGAGGCGUCAAAUAGGUGUUAAGGCAGAGGGACGGUCGAGGUAGUGAAGUCGGAGUCGGUACAGGAGUUCGGUUUGGAGAAAAGGUAUGGGGAAGAAGCUCUCUCUCCCUGUUUCUCUUUCUCUCUCUCUUUCUCUCCGCCGAAUGAGGAGAGGGGUCGGUUGGAUGAGUUCGGACGGGAGGGAUAAUGUCGGAUACAGAAAGGAGAACAGGCGAUGGCUUCGGAUUUGGUUUGCCUAUGGAUCGCGGCAAGUGGAUCGGAAGCAACGACGAAGAAAUAGAGAGUGGAAGGUGCAGAGCUUUCGAGUGGAGUUGGGAGGAAGAGAUCGCGUGGGGUGCGGCUGCUUUUGUGGGUGGAAACUUUGUGGGAGAGGAAGAAAGAGCAUGGAUAAAGUUCUCAUAGUUGGGGGGAGUUGAGAGUUACGGAUUGUAGUGGAGAGAGGCGAUCAAAAGGAGGGGGCUGAGUAUAUAAUAGGUUAUUCAGCUCUUUUUUUUUUUAUUUCUCCCCCGGCUGAUAUGACUUGGGCAUCGAUAGUUGACAGGAUAUGAUUUGUGCAGGAUUUAGCAGAGAUAUGGGCAGGUAUGCAAUGAUUUGGUAAAAAAAUUUAUUUCAUUUUUUUUGUUUUCUCUUAUCCAACUGAAUAGAGGUCAACACUACAUAAUAAAGACAAUAUAGCCUUUAUUUUAUUCCUUAAUAGUUUAAUUCAUUUAGGUAGGUAUUUUAAACUUUUGUCUAUAUAAGGGACUCUAGUCAUGUAUUAAAUUUUUUUAUGAAUUGAGAUUCCACCUUUAAGGUUGUCUACUUCUUGCUUCAUCUCUCUCUCUUUUUCUCGCCUCUCUCCCUCUUGAGACAUUCUUUUCAUCUAAUUCUUCAAUUUCUUCAUCUCUCAACCUCUUUAAUACUCUUAUAUUGAAUUUUGCCAACUCCAACUAUGCUCCUCUAUAUCAAUUUGGUAUCAUUACCAAACCUAUUCCAUGUCCCUUCCAAUCCCAAGCAUUGUCUACCCCUAUCCCCUCAACUACCAAAAUUGUUGUCUCAUCACUAAUUCACCAUUGCUUCAACACGAAUACCCUAACAACACAUUCUUUGUCCUUCUAACAACUCCACUCAAUCAACCCUCCGCACUGAAUCAUCCAAUAUCAGUCGCAUCCACUAAGUCAAGUGCAAUUGUUCCUAUCCAAUUCACAUAGCCUUGCCACUUUGAACACACCACCCCAACAACCUCUUUCAAGUCCUUCUGCAAACUUGUAUUUGUCUCAUCACCCACACAUGCUCUUCAUACUUGAUGUCACAAAAUCUUUUUAGAUGCAUCACACUCGCACGCCAUGCACUCAUUGGAUCACAGGUGAUAAUUCUGUCACAUGCCCUAGCAUGCAAUACACUCAGUUGUCACCACCCUACAUUUGAUCACAUUUAUUUGCACACCCACGGCACAUAAACCUCUUAACCACUUGCAAUUAUUGAUACAUUGAUCACAUCAAUUACGCCCAUUCUAGCACUCUAUGAAGCUUCGCCAACAAGUCAUACCCAAAUUAAUACAAGCAAAGUCACAUGCACAUAGUGCUAGUCACAUGCGCAUAGGGCUCAUUUAUCUGCUUAAAAUAUCCCUUACACUAACCUUAUUUAAAAGAAAUAAAAGUUGAUUCAAUUUGAUUUAUUUCAUUUAGUUGCGCAUCAAAAAUUUAAUGUUUCAAAGAUAUAUUUCUAAAAUAAAUUAUGUUCUGAACAAUGAAAUAUGAAA